RNAcentral lists this RNase MRP RNA (232 nucleotides) under Musa acuminata subsp. malaccensis (wild Malaysian banana). Its description in RNAcentral is "RNase MRP". It matches the Rfam family "RNase MRP". Rfam says of the family: RNase MRP is an enzymatically active ribonucleoprotein with two distinct roles in eukaryotes. In mitochondria it plays a direct role in the initiation of mitochondrial DNA replication. In the nucleus it is involved in precursor rRNA processing, where it cleaves the internal transcribed spacer 1 between 18S and 5.8S rRNAs. Lineage: Eukaryota; Viridiplantae; Streptophyta; Magnoliopsida; Zingiberales; Musaceae. The record is from Rfam by way of RNAcentral.
GCGCUACAGGACGGAGUGAUCGGGUCUGUUGACCCUGGAAAGUCCCCGGGCCUCCAUCCGCAGAGAUGCAGUCACGUAAUGGUGUCUCGUCGAGCUUCGGGCCAGUAUGGCUGAGACACGUGUGGAGCCAUACGGGCCCGAACCGGAGAGAUUAAUUAUGGCCGUUGAAAACAGUUAUUCACUCGAUUCGUAACCGUUGGAUCAACAGAACGGGGCUUAUGAUCCUGUGGCG